UCUCAGUGAUGAAGAAACAUAGAUGACGAGUCCGAUGAAAUCCAUUCAUUAAAUCAUGGGGACAAACGAGGCAUUUGUCUGAGAGAA
RNAcentral lists this small nucleolar RNA (87 nucleotides) under Capsella rubella. RNAcentral's name for it is "Plant small nucleolar RNA SNOR75". It matches the Rfam family "Plant small nucleolar RNA SNOR75". From Rfam's summary of the family: U15 is a member of the C/D class of snoRNA which contain the C (UGAUGA) and D (CUGA) box motifs. The record is from Rfam by way of RNAcentral. Lineage: Eukaryota; Viridiplantae; Streptophyta; Magnoliopsida; Brassicales; Brassicaceae.